RNAcentral lists this ribosomal RNA (442 nucleotides) under uncultured bacterium. Its description in RNAcentral is "bacterial SSU rRNA". It matches the Rfam family "Bacterial small subunit ribosomal RNA", at positions 958 to 1399 of the family's 1533-position model. The record is from RNAcentral.
AACGCGAAGAACCUUACCUGGGCUCGAACGGCUUUGGAUCAUCCUUGGAAACAGGGAUUUCCCGCAAGGGACCGGAGUCGAGGUGCUGCAUGGCUGUCGUCAGCUCGUGUCGUGAGAUGUUGGGUUAAGUCCCGCAACGAGCGCAACCCUUGUCCUGUGUUGCCACUCCGUAAGGAAGCACUCUCAGGAGACCGCCAGCGAUAAGCUGGAGGAAGGUGGGGAUGAUGUCAAGUCAUCAUGGCCUUUAUGUCCAGGGCUACACACGUGCUACAAUGGACGGUACAAAACGCUGCAAACCCGCGAGGGGGAGCUAAUCGCUAAAAACCGUUCUCAGUUCGGAUCGCAGGCUGCAACUCGCCUGCGUGAAGCUGGAAUCGCUAGUAAUGGCGUAUCAGAACGACGCCGUGAAUACGUUCCCGGGCCUUGUACACACCGACGCGUA